GGGGCUGUAGUGUAACUUGGUAUCACUCUACCUUGGGGUGGUAGCAAUCCGUGUUCAAAUCAUGGCAGCCCCA
Molecule: transfer RNA, 73 nt
Filed under: Candidatus Woesearchaeota archaeon
Lineage: Archaea; Nanobdellati; Candidatus Woesearchaeota
Description: tRNA-Pro
Rfam family: tRNA
About the family: Transfer RNA (tRNA) molecules are approximately 80 nucleotides in length. Their secondary structure includes four short double-helical elements and three loops (D, anti-codon, and T loops).
Source: RNAcentral